CGCGUAGGCGGCUUUGUAAGUCUGGAGUGAAAGUCCUCUUUUCAAGGGAGGAAUUGCUUUGGAAACUAUAGAGCUUGAGUGCAGGAGAGGUUAUCGGAAUUCCCGGUGUAGCGGUGAAAUGCGUAGAUAUCGGGAGGAACAUCGGUGGCGAAGGCGGGUAACUGGACUGCAACUGACGCUGAGGCGCGAAAGUGUAGGGAGCAAACA
RNAcentral lists this ribosomal RNA (207 nucleotides) under uncultured bacterium. Its description in RNAcentral is "partial 16S ribosomal RNA". It matches the Rfam family "Bacterial small subunit ribosomal RNA", at positions 568 to 774 of the family's 1533-position model. The record is from RNAcentral.